Molecule: ribosomal RNA, 343 nt
Filed under: uncultured bacterium
Lineage: Bacteria
Description: partial 16S ribosomal RNA
Rfam family: Bacterial small subunit ribosomal RNA
Source: RNAcentral
CCUACGGGAGGCAGCAGUAGGGAAUAUUGCUCAAUGGGGGAAACCCUGAAGCAGCAACGCCGCGUGGAGGAUGAAGGUGUGCGGAGUGGAAACACCUGGUGGUAGAGAAGAAAAUGACGGUAUCUAACGAAUAAGCACCGGCUAACUCCGUGCCAGCAGCCGCGGUAAUACGGAGGGUGCAAGCGUUACUCGGAAUCACUGGGCGUAAAGAGCGCGUAGGGGGGAUUGCAAGUCAGAUGUGAAAUCCUAGGGCUUAACCCUAGAACUGCCUUUGAAACUGUUAUUCUAGAGUAUGGGAGAGGUAGGUGUAAUUCUUGGUGUCGCGGUCAAAUCCGUAGAGAUC